GGGUGAGUAAUGUCUGGGAAACUGCCUGAUGGAGGGGGAUAACUACUGGAAACGGUAGCUAAUACCGCAUAACGUCGCAAGACCAAAGAGGGGGACCUUCGGGCCUCUUGCCAUCGGAUGUGCCCAGAUGGGAUUAGCUAGUAGGUGGGGUAAAGGCUCACCUAGGCGACGAUCCCUAGCUGGUCUGAGAGGAUGACCAGCCACACUGGAACUGAGACACGGUCCAGACUCCUACGGGAGGCAGCAGUGGGGAAUAUUGCACAAUGGGCGCAAGCCUGAUGCAGCCAUGCCGCGUGUAUGAAGAAGGCCUUCGGGUUGUAAAGUACUUUCAGCGGGGAGGAAGGGAGUAAAGUUAAUACCUUUGCUCAUUGACGUUACCCGCAGAAGAAGCACCGGCUAACUCCGUGCCAGCAGCCGCGGUAAUACGGAGGGUGCAAGCGUUAAUCGGAAUUACUGGGCGUAAAGCGCACGCAGGCGGUUUGUUAAGUCAGAUGUGAAAUCCCCGGGCUCAACCUGGGAACUGCAUCUGAUACUGGCAAGCUUGAGUCUCGUAGAGGGGGGUAGAAUUCCAGGUGUAGCGGUGAAAUGC
This 589-nucleotide ribosomal RNA is filed under the name Escherichia coli. RNAcentral describes it as "bacterial SSU rRNA". It matches the Rfam family "Bacterial small subunit ribosomal RNA", at positions 104 to 689 of the family's 1533-position model. Lineage: Bacteria; Pseudomonadati; Pseudomonadota; Gammaproteobacteria; Enterobacterales; Enterobacteriaceae. RNAcentral also lists the same sequence under 1 other name. The record is from RNAcentral.